This 460-nucleotide ribosomal RNA is filed under the name uncultured bacterium. RNAcentral's name for it is "partial 16S ribosomal RNA". It matches the Rfam family "Bacterial small subunit ribosomal RNA", at positions 338 to 795 of the family's 1533-position model. The record is from RNAcentral.
CCUACGGGAGGCAGCAGUGGGGAAUAUUGCGCAAUGGGCGAAAGCCUGAACCAGCCAAGUAGCGUGAAGGAUGACUGCCCUACGGGUUGUAAACUUCUUUUAUAAAGGAAUAAAGUGAGGCACGUGUGCCUUUUUGUAUGUACUUUAUGAAUAAGGAUCGGCUAACUCCGUGCCAGCAGCCGCGGUAAUACGGAGGAUCCGAGCGUUAUCCGGAUUUAUUGGGUUUAAAGGGAGCGUAGAUGGGUUGUUAAGUCAGUUGUGAAAGUUUGCGGCUCAACCGUAAAAUUGCAAUUGAUACUGGCAGCCUUGAGUACAGUUGAGGUAGGCGGAAUUCGUGGUGUAGCGGUGAAAUGCUUAGAUAUCACGAAGAACUCCGAUUGCGAAGGCAGCUUACUAAACUGCCACUGACAUUGAUGCUCGAAAGUGUGGGUAUCAAACAGGAUUAGAUACCCUGGUAGUC